This 254-nucleotide ribosomal RNA is filed under the name uncultured bacterium. RNAcentral describes it as "partial 16S ribosomal RNA". It matches the Rfam family "Bacterial small subunit ribosomal RNA", at positions 526 to 779 of the family's 1533-position model. The record is from RNAcentral.
CGUAGGGCGAAGCGUUAUCCGGAUUUACUGGGUGUAAAGGGAGCGUAGACGGUGAUGUAAGUCAGAUGUGAAAGCCCGGGCGUCAACCCGGGACUGCAUUUGAAACUAUGUCAACUAGAGUGCAGGAGAGGUAAGUGGAAUUCCUAGUGUAGCGGUGAAAUGCGUAGAUACUUAGGAGGAACACCAGUGGCGAAGGCGGCUUACUGGACUGUAACUGACGUUGAGGCUCGAAAGCGUGGGGAGCAAACAGGAUU